Molecule: ribosomal RNA, 389 nt
Filed under: uncultured bacterium
Lineage: Bacteria
Description: bacterial SSU rRNA
Rfam family: Bacterial small subunit ribosomal RNA
Source: RNAcentral
UGGGGAAGUAUUGGACAAUGGGCGCAAGCCUGAUCCAGCCAUACCGCGUGGGUGAAGAAGGCCUUCGGGUUGUAAAGCCCUUUUGUUGGGAAAGAAAUCCAGCUGGCUAAUACCCGGUUGGGAUGACGGUACCCAAAGAAUAAGCACCGGCUAACUUCGUGCCAGCAGCCGCGGUAAUACGAAGGGUGCAAGCGUUACUCGGAAUUACUGGGCGUAAAGCGUGCGUAGGUGGUCGUUUAAGUCCGUUGUGAAAGCCCUGGGCUCAACCUGGGAACUGCAGUGGAUACUGGGCGACUAGAGUGUGGUAGAGGGUAGCGGAAUUCCUGGUGUAGCAGUGAAAUGCGUAGAGAUCAGGAGGAACAUCCAUGGCGAAGGCAGCUACCUGGACC